Molecule: unclassified non-coding RNA, 208 nt
Filed under: uncultured Bartonella sp.
Lineage: Bacteria; Pseudomonadati; Pseudomonadota; Alphaproteobacteria; Hyphomicrobiales; Bartonellaceae
Description: partial 16S-23S ribosomal RNA intergenic spacer
Rfam family: tRNA (bases 56-129)
Source: RNAcentral
AGAAUGUUUCCGUUUCUCAGAUUAUGCUGGGGAAGGUUUUCCGGUUUAUCCCGGAGGGCUUGUAGCUCAGUUGGUUAGAGCGCGCGCUUGAUAAGCGUGAGGUCGGAGGUUCAAGUCCUCCCAGGCCCACCAAUUUAAUUAAGUGCUGAUAAAGUGCUUAUUAUAAGGUGCACACAACAUGUGUAGUUUAUCAAUUAUGGUGAAGCAA